UGGCGCGCGGCGCAUCCCCGUUAGCGCUCGCGGCGCGGUCUCGCGAUGCUGGGGCCGCCGCCGCCAUAUUGUCGCUCUAUUUUGAUUCGGAGCGCAGAGAGCGCGGGGGGAGGGGGCCGGGAGCGGCGCGCGACCCCAGCGGCGGCUCCGGCUGAGCGGGAGCGGCGCCGCCACAGCCACCGCACGCACACCCCCACACACCCCACCCCACCCCGCCCCGCCCGCCGCCGCGGCAGCACGGACCCCCCUGCCCUCCUUCCUCCUGCUCCUCCUUCCUCCGCCUCCUCCCCCCGCGGAGCGGAACGGCGGCGGCGGGAGGCUGCGGAGAGGGUCGGGUCGGCGGGGUCCCCCCUGCCGGGCGGAGGCGGCGGCGGCGCUGGUGGCGGUAGUGGCGGCGGCUGCCGCCGUGGUUGUGGGGGAGGCGGAGGAGGAGGAGGAGGAGGAGGAGAAGCGGCAGCAGGAUAGUACCUUGAUUUGUGCUGCACCAGAAUGAACCCUCAAUUGAGUCUCAAAUUCUUGUAAAAACGGAGAAGACCUGGGUGGUUUUUCUCAUGUUGCUUCACAGGGGAGAGAGCCUCCAAAGGGGAAGAGGUAAGGAAGGUGGUUGGGAGAGGUACUCAGUUUGGGUUGUCUCAAUUUUGUGUUUAAGAGAUACUUGAUAAAGCAUCAUCCCUAUCAUUACAUGUGAGGGCAGGCUAUCUUGCUACGCUGUGCUAUGCUACCUUUGCUUAUGCCAGCUUUUCAAGACUUUGUGAAACGCAAACCAUUAUCUUUCUCAACAUAAGGGAAGUCAAAUGAUUCUACUCUGUUCCUUUAUGUCUGUUAAUACAAUCAUAGAAUUCUUGAAAAUGGGCACUCUUCCUAUGACAGCGUCCUGGUAGAAACUUCUCUUUCCCAACAGUGACAGAACAGAAGAAGAUAGUGUGUUUCUACACCAUGGCAUUGCUUUGAAGGCCAAGGUCUUGUGUUAUUUUGUAGUGUUUUUUGGUGUUACAGGUAGCUGGUAUGUUUUUUGAGUCUUGUAGAAUUAAACCUGUCAUCUGUUGAAGAGAUUAUUCUCAGAAA
Molecule: long non-coding RNA, 1065 nt
Filed under: Taeniopygia guttata (zebra finch)
Lineage: Eukaryota; Metazoa; Chordata; Aves; Passeriformes; Estrildidae
Description: lncRNA (ENSTGUG00000019392.1)
Source: RNAcentral